GAUGAACGCUGGCGGCGUGCCUAAUACAUGCAAGUCGAGCGAACGGACGAGAAGCUUGCUUCUCUGAUGUUAGCGGCGGACGGGUGAGUAACACGUGGAUAACCUACCUAUAAGACUGGGAUAACUUCGGGAAACCGGAGCUAAUACCGGAUGAUAUUUUGAACCGCAUGGUUCAAAAGUGAAAGACGGUCUUGCUGUCACUUAUAGAUGGAUCCGCGCUGCAUUAGCUAGUUGGUAAGGUAACGGCUUACCAAGGCAACGAUGCAUAGCCGACCUGAGAGGGUGAUCGGCCACACUGGAACUGAGACACGGUCCAGACUCCUACGGGAGGCAGCAGUAGGGAAUCUUCCGCAAUGGGCGAAAGCCUGACGGAGCAACGCCGCGUGAGUGAUGAAGGUCUUCGGAUCGUAAAACUCUGUUAUUAGGGAAGAACAUAUGUGUAAGUAACUGUGCACCUCUUGACGGUACCUAAUCAGAAAGCCACGGCUAACUACGUG
Molecule: ribosomal RNA, 497 nt
Filed under: uncultured bacterium
Lineage: Bacteria
Description: partial 16S ribosomal RNA
Rfam family: Bacterial small subunit ribosomal RNA
Source: RNAcentral